RNAcentral lists this ribosomal RNA (300 nucleotides) under uncultured Neomoorella sp. Its description in RNAcentral is "bacterial SSU rRNA". It matches the Rfam family "Bacterial small subunit ribosomal RNA", at positions 496 to 794 of the family's 1533-position model. The record is from RNAcentral. Lineage: Bacteria; Bacillati; Bacillota; Clostridia; Neomoorellales; Neomoorellaceae.
UGAAGCUCCGUGCCAGAGGCGUGGGUAAGAGGGGGGGGUGCGGGUUGUUCCUGAUUCAUGGGGCGUAAAGAGCUCGUAGGCGGUUCAGUAAGUCAGGUGUGAAAUCUCCGCGCUCAACGCGGAGCGGCCACCUGUUACUGCGGUGACUCGAGUCCGGUAGGGGAGUGUGGAAUUCCCGGUGUAGCGGUGAAAUGCGCAGAUAUCGGGAGGAACACCAGUAGCGAAGGCGGCACUCUGGGCCGUGACUGACGCUGAGGAGCGAAAGCGUGGGUAGCAAACAGGAUUAGAUACCCGAGUAUC